This is a long non-coding RNA of Hylaeus anthracinus, 995 nucleotides long. RefSeq lists it as uncharacterized. The record is from RefSeq and is a predicted model, not a curated record. Lineage: Eukaryota; Metazoa; Arthropoda; Insecta; Hymenoptera; Colletidae. The transcript has 3 exons.
AGGCGAUAUUACAUCUUUGAUGUUUGAUUCAGAAGACUCGAGAUAGAAAUAUGUACUUUCUUGAGGAAAAGUAGGAUAGUUUAGAAGAUUUGAGAAAUUUUGUAAUUCGGUGACCGUUGAGGAAUGUUUAAAAAUUGAGAUAUUAUCUAUGAGACUACAAGAGAAAUAGUAUAAAAGAAAAUAAUAUUUUGAAAUUGAGAAAUUAUACUUCAUGAAGCAAUUCAUUGUACUUCUCAACUUUUCACGUAUCAGUACUCGUGCUUCCUUUCUUGUUCGAUGCAGGUAAAUCCGACGUAGCCAAAACAACUCACGGAAUCACGCGAGCUGCGGAUUUCGAAAAAGUCGCGUAAUUGGAGCCUGGAACGAAGGGCGAGGUGACCGAGGGAUUUAAUUCACGGGCACGUGCUGUUGGUGCGUCGAAAAGCAUGCAUCGGAACAUGUUGGACCUCACGUGACUCACGGUGUAUAAUUUGCGUGGUCGUAUUGCGGAUGUAUACACGUGCAAAACCUUGGAGCACAGGCCGGCACGGCGUCUUGUUUAAACAUGCAUGGACGAAAGUAGGAUUGAGUCGAGAGCACCCGCAAAAGCGACACAAAUUUUCUUGCUUAACUUCCCUCAUGCCGAUUCUCUUUUUAUGGACAAACAAACUAUUUGCUCGCCUCAAAUUAUUCUGGGUGUGAUAUUGUGUUUGUGUAUUUCUAAUAUGUACUCUAAUUAAAAAAUAACGAAAUACAAGUGAAUUUGUAUCGCGAUAAUACAGUGGGUGUAGAAGUUCUGGCUCUCGGAAUGUACACCGUUCUCAUGUUAAUCAAUGGUAUUUUGGAGUCGUCGACACUUUGCAUUAUGCCUUUCGCAUUAGCUGGUUUAUUAUUCGCAGACUUGGUGGUCCUUAUCGUAGUCAAACGCUAAGUAAGAAGAUCAAAAUACUAAACCAUACGGAAAAUGGACCUGUUUCUAUUAAACAUUAAGCUAGUUCUCGAAUUGUGCAAUUUUU